RNAcentral lists this transfer RNA (63 nucleotides) under Myosotella myosotis (mouse ear snail). RNAcentral describes it as "tRNA-Ala". Lineage: Eukaryota; Metazoa; Mollusca; Gastropoda; Ellobiida; Ellobiidae. The record is from RNAcentral.
GGAAGGAUACUUUAUAAAGAAGAGUAAGUUUGCAUCUUACCAGUGAGGUGUUCUCUCUUUCCU